RNAcentral lists this ribosomal RNA (402 nucleotides) under uncultured bacterium. RNAcentral describes it as "bacterial SSU rRNA". It matches the Rfam family "Bacterial small subunit ribosomal RNA", at positions 355 to 773 of the family's 1533-position model. The record is from RNAcentral.
UAAGGGAUAUUGCGCAAUGGGCGAAAGCCUGACGCAGCAACGCCGCGUGGAGGAUGACGGCCUUCGGGUUGUAAACUCCUUUGGACGGGGACGAGCAAGGACGGUACCCGUCAAACAAGUCACGGCUAACUACGUGCCAGCAGCCGCGGUAAAACGUAGGUGGCAAGCGUUAUCCGGAUUUACUGGGCGUAAAGCGUGUGCAGACGGGGCAUCAAGUGGGGUAUGAAAUCGCCCGGCUCAACCGGGCGGGGUUAUGCCAGACUGGUGUGCUAGAGACAGAGAGAGGGACGUGGAAUUCCGGGUGUAGUGGUGAAAUGCGUAGAGAUCCGGAGGAACCCCUGAGGCGAAGGCGGCGUCCUGGCUCUGGUCUGACGUUCAGACACGACAGCAUGGGGAGCGAAC